GCCAGAUAAGGGAAGCAGGCCUCCGAAGCCAGCAGUGGCAACCCACUUGGGUCCCUUUCAAUGCUGUGGAAGCGUUGUUCUUUCACUCUUCUCAAUAAAUCUUGCUGCUGCUCACUCUUUGGGUCUGCCCCGCUGUUAUGAGCUGUAACACUCACAGCCAGUGUCUGCAGUUUCACUCCUGAAGCCAGCAAGACCACAAACCCACAGGGCGGGACAAACAACUCCGGACAGGAGGAAUGAACAACUCUGGACGCGCCACUUCUAUGAACUUUUAUGAACUGUAACACUCACCGCAAAGGUCUGCAGCUUCACCCCUGAGGCCAGGGAGACCACGAACCCACCGGAAGGAAUGAACAACUCCAGACGCACUGCCUUUAAGAGCUGUAACACUUACCACGGAUGUCUGCAGCUUCACUCCUGAAGUCAGCGAGACCACAAACCCAACAGAAGGAAGAAACUCCCGACACAUCUGAACAUCUGAAGGAACAAACUCUGGACACACCAUCUUUAAGAACUGUAACACUCACCGUGAGGGUCAACCGCUUCAUUCUUGAAGUCAGCCAGACCAAGAACCCACCAAUUCCGAGUCUCACUUUGUUGCCUAAGCUAGAGUGCAGCGUCGUGAUCAAGGCUCACUGCAGCCUCAACAUCCUGAUCCCCAGUGUUCCUCCCACCUCAACCUCCCAAGUAGCUGGGACCACAGUCUAUCUGAAUCAUGUUAUUGGACCAUGAGAGCAAGCAGCUGGAUCUCAUUCUGUCCAGUGACAGGGUCUCACUCUGUCACCGAUGCUGGAGUACAGUUGCAAAAGAUCAUCGCUCACUGUAGCCUUGACCUCCUGGGCACAAGCCAUGCUCUACCGGAGCCACUGCCCCUAGUUAUGGUUCCUGUGUCACACUGAUGCAAGAGAUGGGAUACCAUGGCUUUGGGAAGCUCCACUCCUAUGGCUUGGCAGCGUACAGCCUCCCUUCUGGCUGCUUUCACAGGUUGGUGUUGAGUGCAGCUUUUCCAGGAUUUUGUGAGUAACCAGCUUUAAUUUGGAAAACCUAGACUUCUACAUACAGAUUGUUAUGUUUGGAACAGUGGCUCAUGCCUGUAAUCCCAGAACUUUGGGAGGCCCAGACGAGCGGAUCACCUAGGUCAGGAGUUGAGGCCAGCCUGGUCAACAUGGCAAAACCUCAUCUCUACUAAAAGUACAAAAAUUAUCCGGGCGUGGUUGUGGGCACCUGUAUUCUCAGGUACUUGGGAGACUGAGGCAGCAGAAUCGCUUGAACCCAGGAAGCAGAGGUUGCAGUGAGCCGAGAUCAGGCUGCUGCACUCUAGCCUGUGUGAUAGAGUGAGUGAGACUGUGUCUCAAAAAACAAAAAACAAAACAAAAAAACUUUCAAUUUAUUUUCCAGAGGUCUAUUUUUAAUUUAGUAACAAGAUUUUAAAAAAUAUAUAUAAAAUUAAAUAACAGUAGAAAGUUAGAACUAGGCCCUAUAAAAUAUAAAAUUGUCAAAAUUGGUUAGCAUGAUUGUAGCUUCAAGGAUCAUAUUGUUAAUGUGACAACUUCUGAAACCAAACAUCAUCAUGCUUGGCAUCAAGAGCUAAAGUAGUCAUGAGUUAAUGGAGAAGAACAACUAAGGAAUUGGCUGGUGAAGUAAAGUUUAUGCUAAAUUUAAUUGAAAUGAAAUAACAAAGCAGUUUGAAACGAACAUUCCAUUGAUUAUUUUUAAAAUUUUAUUUAUUAACAAAAUAGCUUAUACUAACUGCCCACUCUCUAUCCCAAUAGUCACAGCAAUAACAUAUAGUUAACAUUUGUAAUUAAAUAUUUCAUUUCAUACAAAUAGUAUUUUAAAAUUCAAGUGUUGAUUUUUAAGCCUUUGAAUGUUUGGCUGUUUAAAAUUUAAGUGCAUAUAAAAAAUUGUAGAAAAGGGUCAUUAUUAAUAAAAUAUUCAAAAUAUGGUAAAUUAUGCAUGAUGAUUUAAUAUAUGCAAAUUGACAAGUGAUGUGAAUAGUACAUUUGAAUAGAGAAAAUAUGUACAUAAAUGAAUGGUAUUUCAGAAUCUAAGCAAAUUGAUGACUCCAUUAUGUACUUGUCCCCAAUGUAAAUGAAAUAUUAAUUAGAAAACUUUUUUUUCACUAAAGGGCUGAACAUAAAGUGUGAUGGCAAAUUGGUGUGUUCUUGUAUUUCUUGUCUUUAAGAAUUCUUUUCAAUAUAUUUUCACUUAAUGUUUUAGCAACACUUUUCAUCAUCCUUUUACACUUAUAGCUGGACUAUGCUUAGUGAUAGAAAAUAGUUAUAUAAUGGGAUUAUACUUGGCCAUAUGAAUUUGACGGUAUGAGUUAAUCUAUGUUUCAUCUUACUUGUGUCUACUUGUAAGUCAUUGAUGCUAAUGUUAUUAGUAAUUUUUAUUGGGUAGAAAUAUUUUCUAUAUGACAUUUUUGAGAAAAAGAAGUCAAUAAAUCCCAUUUGAUAUGCAACAGAAAUAAAGAUCUCUUAUUUCAAUUUUAAAAUGCUUUAUAACUUACAUUGCUUUGUUUUAUGCAGUAUUUGUUUUGAUCAGAUGCAAAAUGAGCCAGUAAUGGCAUCUAACCACAAGUUUGAUAUAUUUUUUUAAAGAAAAAUUUCCAAAAUACUAUAACUGAGCAAUAGGCUAAUACUUCAUAAAUUAAAAUAUUUAAAUAUUCAAUCUUUCUGAGUGGAUAUUUGUUGCAUAUCUGAUAACUUGGCCUAAUUCUGUAAUUGGGAUGAGAACUACCCAAUUUUAUUGGUAACCUCUUUUCUGCUCUGCAACUUUGGAAAUAAUAUGGAGGACUUCAAAUUCAUUUGAGACAAAAAUAUUAAAAAUGUAACCCCUGAUUAGGAUUUCAGUUCCAAAGCUCUCCUUGGAGGGAUAUAGAGCUGGAGACAAUCAAUCACAUUUAUUUUUCAUCUCCUUAAUAUUGAUAUAUAAAAGUCAGGUUAAAAUUAGUAUCAAAAUGGGAAGCCUGCAUUGUAAACUGGCUGGAAUAAUACACUCUGCAAUAUGAAGGAAAAAGGAAAAAUUUAGUUGAUUCAUUUACUUAACUAUAAUUUUUUAAAGAAUUUUAAGUUUCUAAUAAAUUUAACUAUAAAUUUUUAAUUUUCUAUCUUUCAUUUAGUACCAUCUAUAUAAACUUUUCCAGGCUACUUCUCUGAAUCACCUGGCAAAAUCUUAUAAUUUACCACCUAACUGAAUAAAACACACACACACAAAAUAAUCUAUUUUUAAUAAUAAACAUCAUUUAUAAUUACGUUGUUGAGAUUGAGAGUAAUCAUCAGGUGUGGAAAAACUGAGGAAAUUUUAACAAUUUAAAAUGUAAUAAUCUUUUUUGUAUUAUGUGUGUUUUAUACUCAGAAGUGCAUAUGUUUUAUAAAAUUAUGUGAAUUUAUAAGUGUGGUCAAUAUUAAUAUUAAAUUGUAUCUUUUAAUAGUA
This 3438-nucleotide long non-coding RNA is filed under the name Homo sapiens (human). Its description in RNAcentral is "long independently transcribed non-coding RNA 2377, transcript variant 3 (LINC02377)". Lineage: Eukaryota; Metazoa; Chordata; Mammalia; Primates; Hominidae. The record is from RNAcentral.